RNAcentral lists this ribosomal RNA (726 nucleotides) under uncultured Photobacterium sp. RNAcentral's name for it is "bacterial SSU rRNA". It matches the Rfam family "Bacterial small subunit ribosomal RNA", at positions 66 to 780 of the family's 1533-position model. The record is from RNAcentral. Lineage: Bacteria; Pseudomonadati; Pseudomonadota; Gammaproteobacteria; Vibrionales; Vibrionaceae.
ACUUAACUGAACCUUCGGGGAACGUUAAGGGCGGCGAGCGGCGGACGGGUGAGUAAUGCCUGGGAAUAUGCCCUGAUGUGGGGGAUAACUAUUGGAAACGAUAGCUAAUACCGCAUAAUCUCUUCGGAGCAAAGAGGGGGACCUUCGGGCCUCUCGCGUCAGGAUUAGCCCAGGUGGGAUUAGCUUGUUGGUGAGGUAAUGGCUCACCAAGGCAACGAUCCCUAGCUGGUCUGAGAGGAUGAUCAGCCACACUGGAACUGAGACACGGUCCAGACUCCUACGGGAGGCAGCAGUGGGGAAUAUUGCACAAUGGGGGAAACCCUGAUGCAGCCAUGCCGCGUGUGUGAAGAAGGCCUUCGGGUUGUAAAGCACUUUCAGUAGGGAGGAAGAUAGUGUAGUUAACACCUGCACUAUUUGACGUUACCUACAGAAGAAGCACCGGCUAACUCCGUGCCAGCAGCCGCGGUAAUACGGAGGGUGCGAGCGUUAAUCGGAAUUACUGGGCGUAAAGCGCAUGCAGGCGGCUUGUUAAGUCAGAUGUGAAAGCCCGGGGCUUAACCUCGGAAUUGCAUUUGAAACUGGCAGGCUAGAGUCUUGUAGAGGGGGGUAGAAUUUCAGGUGUAGCGGUGAAAUGCGUAGAGAUCUGAAGGAAUACCAGUGGCGAAGGCGGCCCCCUGGACAAAGACUGACGCUCAGAUGCGAAAGCGCGGGGAGCAAACAGGAUUA